UCCACGUCAAGUUCACAACGUCCUUCUGACAUCAAACCACAGGCCGUGAACACUGACUGCAUGUCUACUAUGGCCAGGACUCCAAGGGAGGCACCCUAGGGAACACAGAUGACCGCAGCACAGCGACAACCUCAAGGAGCACACACGGGGAAGGCAAGAUGAUACAAUCGAAGA
Molecule: non-coding RNA, 174 nt
Organism: Chlorocebus sabaeus (green monkey)
Lineage: Eukaryota; Metazoa; Chordata; Mammalia; Primates; Cercopithecidae
Source: RefSeq, a predicted model, not a curated record